UCCCCUCAAACCCUGUCGUUCCCGGGAAGCUCCCAGAGGUGGCUGAGGCCACGCCCCUGCUCAUGAACGGCAGCAUCCAGACCCGGAAAGGACCUCGUUUCAGCCUGGCACCUCCCAAGAAGAGGCCUCCCAGGCUCAGAGAUGUUAAGGAACUUGCUUGGGGGUCACAUGGUGAGUAAGUGGCCCAGCCACGACUGAAGUCCAGGUCAGCCUGACCUCAAAGUCUGUGCUGAGACAUUAUGCCACCGUCCCUCCAGGGCUACCGUCAUUCCACCAAUGCUUACUGAGCCUGACUCCUUGUAAGUGACCAAGGAUACAGCGAUGAGAAACACACAGCCCUGCCCUGCAGAGGCUCAGAGUGCAGUGAGGACAAGACAUGAGAACCAUUGAGCACGAUGUGCCCGAGGGAGCUGUGGGGACACUGAGAAGGAACUCCUCACCCAGAUGGGGGCUGUUCCCAUUUUCUUCCUGCCCACAAGCCACCAGGUGACCCCUGAAAGGCUUCGAGACCAUAGGACCCUGCCUGGAGUGACUUGUGUGUGUGCUCCUGGGGAAGGGGACCAGUCUCUCUCCUAUGAGGGUGGGAGCCUCCACUUUGGUGUGUGGCCCCUGAGGAAGAAGUGAACGUGAAGACAUGAAGGCGGCAUUGGCCGCAGCCUGAAGUUCUUGGGUGGCCGCAGGCUCAUCCUAGCAAAGAACCCUAUAAACAGGGCAAGGCUGUCGGGCUCCUGAAAUGGGCCUGCCCUGUUAGCAAAUGCCUGCCGUAGUGGAGUUCCCUCCGGGACCUCUGCGGAAAGGGCACCCGCAGCCUCUUUGUGUGAACUUCAGGCAGGCAUGUCUGUAGGGCGUGGGGAUGGACCCCUGGAUCACAGUCUUCCCAGGACCUGUCCUCAGAAGGAACUCCCGUUCCAUCAGGCCCCCUCCCUCUCACCCUCUUGGCUCCCACCUAAUCUGUGUGCCUCUGCAGUGCUGAGCCCAGUGGGCUGCCUACCCCAGGGGUGCAGGCAAAAUGUUGAAAAAGCUGGUAAAGAAUAUGGGCAGGGUGGGAAGAGAUGAAACAGAAUUGACCUCGAGUUGGUGAAGCUGACUAACAGGUGCACAGGAGUUCAUGAUGUUCUAUGUUUCACGUGUAUUUAUGACAUUUUUAAUAAUCAAAUGACAGAAGAAAA
Mandrillus leucophaeus (drill) is the source of this 1169-nucleotide long non-coding RNA. RefSeq lists it as uncharacterized. The transcript is spliced from 2 exons. The record is from RefSeq and is a predicted model, not a curated record. NCBI's taxonomy places the organism in Eukaryota, Metazoa, Chordata, Mammalia, Primates, Cercopithecidae.